AUGGCGAGUAUAGUGUUAAGCAAAAUUCUACAGGAUGUGCAGGAGCAGGGUGACCUGCGGGUAUAUGUGUGUGCGAAGUCGCAGACUAUCCGACAGACUCCCGCUGCCGUCUCCCAGUUUGCGGAGCAGGGAGUGAAACUGCAGUGUCAUGUGGAAGGAGCAAGUACCCCAAACAUGUUCUGGUACAGACAAGCCCCAGGGAAGGGGUUGCAGCUGAUGUUUUACUCUAUUACCACCAGAGUAGUAGAUCCAGACGGGUCGGUGGACGGGUUCACCGCCAAGCGGCCGAGUGAUCUUGAGUUCAUUCUGGAGACCACCAGCCUAUGGGCGAAUCAGUCGGCCAUGUAUUACUGCGCCUGGAGUAUUCACAGUGACUCAGAGAGAGGGAGCAGCGCAACAAAAACCUCAAAGGCGACAUGA
This is a non-coding RNA of Hemiscyllium ocellatum (epaulette shark), 420 nucleotides long. Lineage: Eukaryota; Metazoa; Chordata; Chondrichthyes; Orectolobiformes; Hemiscylliidae. The record is from the annotation of a RefSeq genome assembly.